CCGUACAAAACGUGAGAGGGGCUGUCGCUGACUUUUGAUGCAAAAGUCGUGCACGCUCCUCUCACAUGACAUCCGUCUCACCCUUUUGUGCACCACCGCGUGGGCACCCUUUGGGAUCAAACCCGAUCUCGGAGGGAGCUUGCGUUUUCACACAAACCCCCUCUUUAAAAGUGUAUAGAAUGACCCCAUUUGCGUGAUAAUA
This 202-nucleotide unclassified non-coding RNA is filed under the name uncultured Russulaceae. Its description in RNAcentral is "sequence contains ITS1". Lineage: Eukaryota; Fungi; Basidiomycota; Agaricomycetes; Russulales; Russulaceae. The record is from RNAcentral.